Molecule: ribosomal RNA, 16 nt
Filed under: Phytophthora lateralis
Lineage: Eukaryota; Oomycota; Peronosporomycetes; Peronosporales; Peronosporaceae
Description: partial 28S ribosomal RNA
Source: RNAcentral
UGGACGUGAUUCAGCA